CUUCUAUCGAUUGCUGUAGCUGCUGUGAAUGACCGCAGCAAAGUGAUAUUACGGGCAUAUGCUGGAAGAGCACCUGGCUUGGAAGAUCUCCUAGUCAUCGAACUUGGUGGGCCCAUCCACCAUCAUCCGAGAGAGGCUGCCAGUGUCAGGAGAUUCUGUCUACAUCAAAGUCAGAGGCAUCAAUAAUAAUGGUGCAAGCAGUGAGGUGACAUGUAUCUUGGACAAUUAUGAUGUCACACUACCAACAGGCCGGCUGGAAGCAGAUUUUACAACAACUAGCAACAGGCAUAUGCUGCAUGGCUCAUUGGUAGUGUAUGAAGAUUCUCCAAUCAUUAAGUCAGAC
Long non-coding RNA from Pomacea canaliculata, 343 nucleotides. RefSeq lists it as uncharacterized. The record is from RefSeq and is a predicted model, not a curated record. The transcript is spliced from 3 exons. NCBI's taxonomy places the organism in Eukaryota, Metazoa, Mollusca, Gastropoda, Architaenioglossa, Ampullariidae.